GAUGAAGAACGUAGCGAAAUGCGAUACGUAAUGUGAAUUGCAGAAUUCAGUGAAUCAUCGAAUCUUUGAACGCACAUUGCGCCUGCCAGCACUCCGGCAGGCAUGCCUGUUCGAGCGUCAUUUCAACCAUCAAGCCCUAGGCUUGCGUUGGAGCCCUGCGGCUGCCGCAGGCCCCUAAAAGCAGUGGCGGGCUCGCUAUCACACCGAGUGCAGUAGAUUACUCUUCGCUCAGGGCGUGUGGCGGGUUCCAGCCGUGAAACCCCCUACUUCUCAAGGUUGACCUCGGAUCAGGUAGGAAUACCCGCUGAACUUAAGCAUAUCAAUAAGCGGAGGA
RNAcentral lists this unclassified non-coding RNA (334 nucleotides) under soil metagenome. RNAcentral describes it as "partial contains 5.8S ribosomal RNA, internal transcribed spacer 2, and large subunit ribosomal RNA". The stretch from base 1 to 120 matches the Rfam family "5.8S ribosomal RNA", at positions 35 to 154 of the family's 154-position model. The record is from RNAcentral.